GCUUGGCUGUGGUGGGCGUGGCCUAAAUUGGAGUGGGAGGGGCCAAAAAUUUGGGAUAAAAAUGGGUAAAUUUGGGAAUUUCAGAACCAAAACAUCCUAAAAUAAGCAGCAUUCAAAUGUAGCCAGAAAGGGGCGUGGCCUCUCUAUUUCAGCCACCACUUAUUCCAUAUAUGGGCAUAAAGUGGGUGUGGUUUAUUCUUAAAGGGGCCUCGCCUCAUUUUAGUUUUUGCCAUUUUUUUAUUUUUCUUUUUCCAAUUUUUUCGGGAGUUUUCUGAUGUGGCUCGUCUGAGGUGGGCGUGGCUCGUCUGAGGUGGGCGUGGCUUGUCUGAAGUGGGCGUGGCCGAAAAUUGGGGAUUAAAAUGGGGAAAUUUUGGAUAUACACAGGGAAAAAACAUGACCUUAAAUGGGCGUGGCAAAAAGGGCGUGGCCUCACUUUCUCCACCAUGAUUUUUAUUCCAUAUAUGGGCAUCAGGUGGGUGUGGCUUGCUCUUAAAGGGGCCUCACUCCAUUUUAAUUUUUGCAAAGUUUUGAUUUAUUUUCCCCAAUUUUUUCAGGAGUUUCUUGGUGUGGCUCAAUCUGAGGUGGGCGUGGCCUAAAUUGAAGUGGGAGGGGCCAAAAAUUUGGGAUUAAAAUGGGAAAAUUUUGGAUAUACAGAGGGAAAAAACCCAUGACCUUGAAUGGGCGUGGCAAAAAGGGCGUGGCCUCAAUGUCUUCAACAUUUGUCUUAUUCCAUAUAUGGGCAUCAAGUGGGUGUGGCUUACUCUUAAAGGGGCCGCGCUCCAUUUUAAUUUUUGCAAAUUUUUGCUAAUUUUUCUCAAUUUUUUCAGGAUUUUUUGGGUGUGGCUCAUCUGAGGUGGGCGUGGCUUGUCUGAAGUGGGUGUGGCCUAAAUUGGAGUGGGAGGGGCCGAAAAUUGGGGAUUAAAAUGGGGAAAUUUGGGAAAUACACGGGGAAAAAACAUGACCUUAAAUGGGUGUGGCAAAAGGGGUGUGGCCUCAAUGUCUUCAACAUUAGUCUUAUUCCAUAUAUGGGCAUCAAGUGGGUGUGGCUUGCUCUUAAAGGGGCCUCGCUCCAUUUUAAUUUUUGCAAAUUUUUACUAAUUUUUCUCAAUUUUUUCAGGAUUUUUUGGGUGUGGCUGAUCUGAGGUGGGCGUGGCUUGUUGGCCACGCCCUCCCGGGCUGACCACGCCCAUUUUUAACCCCUCAGUGGCCAUGGCUUACUCGGAACUGGUCUCGUAUCAGCGACGUCACGACGUCAAUCCGCUCCGGGGCUUCCUGGUGCCCCUCGUGCAGACCCCCCUUUUUGUGCUGUUUUUCUUGGCCCUGCAGGGGAUGGGGGAGG
Passer montanus (Eurasian tree sparrow) is the source of this 1339-nucleotide long non-coding RNA. RefSeq lists it as uncharacterized. NCBI's taxonomy places the organism in Eukaryota, Metazoa, Chordata, Aves, Passeriformes, Passeridae. The record is from RefSeq and is a predicted model, not a curated record. The transcript has 3 exons.